GGGGCGGGCGCUGCGAGUGACGUUUCCCUUCGCCUUUCUUUCCCCUUGGAUUUUCGAGAUGCUGCUGGGAAAACUUGCGCAGCCGGCGCACAGCUUGAGCGAACGGCUGUCGGCGGGCGGCUGCAGGCGGUUCUGGGGCUGGCUGAACGCCGUGUUCAACAAGGUGGACUACGAGCGCAUCCAGGCUGUUGGGCCCGACAGGGCAGCCUCAGAGUGGCUGCUGCGGUGUGGAGCACUGGUACGCUAUAAAGGCUAUGAGAAAUGGCAGCAGGACUACAGCGGCCUCCCCACUGGGCCCUUAGGGAAAUACAAGAUAGAAGCAAUCAACGCCACUGAGUCUUGCAUCAUGUACAGAGGAUUUGACUACUUGGAUGGUCUUGAACACGUUACUGAAAUCAAGCUGCAGAAGUGUAUUUAUAUACAGGAUGAGUGUUUGCAGAGGCUCAGCGACACAAAGAACCUACAAAAGAGCCUCCUGCAGCUGAAGAUCAUUUCCUGUGGGAAUGUCACAGAUAAAGGCAUCAUUGCACUUCACAAGCUGACGAACCUUGAAUAUUUGUAUCUGAGUGACCUUCCUGGAAUAAGACAGAAAGAAACUACUGCUCGUGUCCUUCAGCAGGCACUGCCAAACCUAGAGCUGGAGCUGGAUCUGGACUGAAUGCAACGAGGGAUGUUUGAUUUCAUGCUCUUUAUCACAUGUUGUGUAAAUUAAGUUGUGGAUGCCGCUCUAUUUACAGGCGAAUGACUUCACAUGACAAAACCAGCAAAUAUAAAUAACUUCGUAUUGCAAGGAAGAGACAGACAGGAGAAGCUCUGGAAAGGCCAAAGAAAAAAAGCAGACUUCAGUAAUUACAUUCUCCUUCUGUUCCCAGUGCCUGUGGAGCCUUCCAAACACUGGCUAACGUGAGCUUGGAGUGCACCACUUUCCUUCCACCAGUAGCCCAGAGUACCUUGCAGUCCAUUUCUGUAUACAUCAUCACCUGUAUUAAUUCAGGUUUCCACCACGUGGCCUUUUAUAAGUGCUGAAGGAUUGGAACUUUGAAUGCUAGGUAGUUUUUCAUCUGCCACCCACUCAGAUGUUAGGGAAAUGGUAGUUGGAUUUCCUCGUUUUGCAGAAGUACUUCUUGCUGUCCAAAGCUGGCAGAACAUUGCUGCUGCUUAACUGAGGCAGGUACUGGAAGUAAAGCAAGAGUUACAUCACGUGUAGUUGUUUGAAAGAAGGAGAAAGCAUGCAGUUCAUCUUUCAAACAGGGAUAUAAGGCAUAAAAUUAUUCAUACUGCACUCCUGUACUUUCCAAACUAAGAGUCACGAGCACAUGCAGUUUGCUCAGCAGUCCUGCUACACCUCAUCCUGAAUGCACUUUCCUAAAUAAACCUCAUCUGUCACACUGCUGUGCUGCCUAUCCCCAGUCACCCGAUGGAGCUGCAGUGCAGAAUUCAGCCUGCAGUGAGUUCCUCUUUAACCAGGAGAUUCCUUUUGGAUCUGUUCAGGUGUUGUACUGAAGGACAUGGUUUAGUGGGAAAUCUGGUGGUAGGUGGCUGCUUGGACUGGAUCCUGGAGGUCUUUGCCACCCUUAGUGAUUCUGUGGUUCUGUCAUCUUCUCCUCGGGCUAAAAUUAAGGCUGCUCCAAUGUGAGAACUUCACCUCCCCACGAACUGCCCAACCUGUUCUUGAGCCCGACUUGUGGGCACCACGUUAAGAAAACAACUUCCCUCCCUGGACACUGAGCAUUAAACACUACAAUGAAAGCAUUACCCCCGGCACGUGCUUCCGUGUCAGCUUGGCUGGUUUUCGAGCUGCUUUUUCAUGUUCUUUCCCCAGAUCUGCCUCCCUAAUGCUGUCGAAAUAGGGGUGCUGCAGCAGCUGCUCACACGUCUGCCUCUCCGCAGGGUCCAUACGAAGGCAGCCCUUAGAAAAGACCAAGGGUCACACAGAACAUAAUGAUACAUAAAGGUCUGCACGAUUCCAGCUCUUUGCAACAGCCAAUGAGUAUUUGCACAGAUGGAUGCAUAGGUUUUAUUUUUCAAGGAAUUCUACAAAUCUGGCUUUUUACUGUCAGCUGGAAGCUUGCAAAGCAGCUCACAUGAACAAACGCCACCUCUGACAGAAGGCAAUACUUAGAAACUAAGGGUAGAGGGACACUUGUUCUACAGCAAACCAUCAAGUCUCAGAAAACAGCUAAGCCCAUGACUUCCAGUUGAACCAGAACAGUCUUCUUAAACUGAGGAAUCCAGUGCAUCACUAGCUGUGUUGUUCCAGGGUUUGGUGCUACCUAAAGCUGCACCUUUAUUUUUAAUGCUUUCACCCUCAUGGUUUCCACUUGGUGCAUCUCAAUGGAACAAUUUGUUUUCCAUGUCUGUGCUAAAGACGAGCAGGUUAACAAGAAGCAGACUAAAAGUUUUCUCCAGUUCCCCUUCAGCUCUGUUUUACUAUGAACCUAUGAUCGUUCGGUAGCCAAAUCUCAAACCAUCUACCAUCUGAACAAGCAAAGCAGACUGCAUUUGUUAAGUCUCAGUGUGGAGCUCAAGCUGUAGCUCCUUGCCUCCUGGGCACGCUGCUUCGGGUAGAGGACCUUGUGAGCUUCAGCUUCAGACACUUUGCUUACCUUCAUGAGAGCUAAAGCAGGGUAUGAAAUAGUAGGAAAUUUCAUUUCCAAUGGCUCCUGGAGGAAAAAGAGAGGAAAAAAAAGUAGUUGUAUUAGCAAGCUUUUCUUUCACCACGUU
Centrocercus urophasianus (Greater sage-grouse) is the source of this 2724-nucleotide RNA transcript. It is a transcript of the gene named distal membrane arm assembly component 2 like, with no coding region annotated. NCBI's taxonomy places the organism in Eukaryota, Metazoa, Chordata, Aves, Galliformes, Phasianidae. The transcript has 6 exons. The record is from RefSeq and is a predicted model, not a curated record.